AUUGAACGCUGGCGGCAGGCUUAACACAUGCAAGUCGAACGAGUGGCGGACGGGUGAGUUAUGUCUGGAAAACGGCCCGAUGGUGGGGGAUAACUACUGGAACGAGUAGCUAAUACCGCAUACCAUGGGAUGUGCCCAGAUGGGAUUAGCUCGUAGGUGGGGUAACGGCUCACCUAGGCGACGAGCCCUAGCUGGUCUGAGAGGAUGACCAGCCACACUGGAACUGAGACACGGUCCAGACUCCUACGGGAGGCAGCAGUGGGGAAUAUUGCACAAUGGGCGCAAGCCUGAUGCAGCCAUGCCGCGUGUAUGAUGAAGGCCUUCGGGUUGUAAAGUACUUUCAGCGAGGAGGCGUUACUCGCAGAAGAAGCACCGGCUAACUCCGUGCCAGCAGCCGCGGUAAUUC
This 406-nucleotide ribosomal RNA is filed under the name uncultured bacterium. RNAcentral's name for it is "partial 16S ribosomal RNA". It matches the Rfam family "Bacterial small subunit ribosomal RNA", at positions 30 to 526 of the family's 1533-position model. The record is from RNAcentral.